Molecule: ribosomal RNA, 592 nt
Filed under: uncultured bacterium
Lineage: Bacteria
Description: bacterial SSU rRNA
Rfam family: Bacterial small subunit ribosomal RNA
Source: RNAcentral
ACCAAGGCCACGAUGCAUAGCCGACCUGAGAGGGUGAUCGGCCACACUGGGACUGAGACACGGGCCAGACUCCUACGGGAGGCAGCAGUAGGGAAUCUUCGGCAAUGGACGAAAGUCUGACCGAGCAACGCCGCGUGAGUGAAGAAGGUUUUCGGAUCGUAAAACUCUGUUGUUAGAGAAGAACAAGGAUGAGAGUAGAACGUUCAUCCCUUGACGGUAUCUAACCAGAAAGCCACGGCUAACUACGUGCCAGCAGCCGCGGUAAUACGUAGGUGGCAAGCGUUGUCCGGAUUUAUUGGGCGUAAAGCGAGCGCAGGCGGUUUCUUAAGUCUGAUGUGAAAGCCCCCGGCUCAACCGGGGAGGGUCAUUGGAAACUGGGAGACUUGAGUGCAGAAGAGGAGAGUGGAAUUCCAUGUGUAGCGGUGAAAUGCGUAGAUAUAUGGAGGAACACCAGUGGCGAAGGCGGCUCUCUGGUCUGUAACUGACGCUGAGGCUCGAAAGCGUGGGGAGCGAACAGGAUUAGAUACCCUGGUAGUCCACCCCGUAAACGAUGAGUGCUAAGUGUUGGAGGGUUUCCGCCCUUCAGUGCUGC